UAGGGAAUCUUCGGCAAUGGGGGCAACCCUGACCGAGCAACGCCGCGUGAGUGAAGAAGGUUUUCGGAUCGUAAAGCUCUGUUGUAAGAGAAGAACGUGUGUGAGAGUGGAAAGUUCACACAGUGACGGUAACUUACCAGAAAGGGACGGCUAACUACGUGCCAGCAGCCGCGGUAAUACGUAGGUCCCGAGCGUUGUCCGGAUUUAUUGGGCGUAAAGCGAGCGCAGGCGGUUGAAUAAGUCUGAAGUUAAAGGCAGUGGCUUAACCAUUGUUAGCUUUGGAAACUGUUGAACUUGAGUGCAGAAGGAGAGAGUGGAAUUCCAUGUGUAGCGGUGAAAUGCGUAGAUAUAUGGAGGAACACCGGUGGCGAAAGCGGCUCUCUGGUCUGUAACUGACGCUGAGGCUCGAAAGCGUGGGGAGCAAACAGG
RNAcentral lists this ribosomal RNA (429 nucleotides) under bacterium. RNAcentral's name for it is "partial 16S ribosomal RNA". It matches the Rfam family "Bacterial small subunit ribosomal RNA", at positions 355 to 776 of the family's 1533-position model. The record is from RNAcentral.